AGGACGAACGCUGGCGGCGUGCUUAACACAUGCAAGUCGAGCGGAAAGGCCCUUCGGGGUACUCGAGCGGCGAACGGGUGAGUAACACGUGAGCAACCUGCCCCUGGCUCUGGGAUAGCCUCCGGAAACGGGGAUUAAUACCGGACAUGACCUGCUGCCGCAUGGUGGCGGGUGGAAAGUUUUUCGGCAGGGUGGGGCUCGCGGCCUAUCAGCUUGUUGGGGGGGUGACGGCCCACCAAGGCGACGACGGGUAGCCGGCCUGAGAGGGCGACCGGCCACACUGGGACUGAGACACGGCCCAGACUCCUACGGGAGGCAGCAGUGGGGAAUAUUGCGCAAUGGGCGGAAGCCUGACGCAGCGACGCCGCGUGCGGGAUGAAGGCCUUCGGGUUGUAAACCGCUUUCACCAGGGCGAAGCGAGAGUGACGGUACCUGGGGAAGAAGCGCCGGCUAACUACGUGCCAGCAGCCGC
This 472-nucleotide ribosomal RNA is filed under the name uncultured bacterium. Its description in RNAcentral is "SSU rRNA". It matches the Rfam family "Bacterial small subunit ribosomal RNA", at positions 26 to 518 of the family's 1533-position model. The record is from RNAcentral.